UAGGGAAUCUUCGGCAAUGGGGGGAACCCUGACCGAGCAACGCCGCGUGAGUGAAGAAGGUUUUCGGAUCGUAAAGCUCUGUUGUUAAGGAGGAACGAGUGUGAGAAUGGAAAGUUCAUACUGUGACGGUACUUAACCAGAAAGGGACGGCUAACUACGUGCCAGCAGCCGCGGUAAUACGUAGGUCCCGAGCGUUGUCCGGAUUUAUUGGGCGUAAAGCGAGCGCAGGCGGUUAGAUAAGUCUGAAGUUAAAGGCAGUGGCUCAACCAUUGUAGGCUUUGGAAACUGUUUAACUUGAGUGCAGAAGGGGAGAGUGGAAUUCCAUGUGUAGCGGUGAAAUGCGUAGAUAUAUGGAGGAACACCGGUGGCGAAAGCGGCUCUCUGGUCUGUAACUGACGCUGAGGCUCGAAAGCGUGGGGAGCGAACAGG
Molecule: ribosomal RNA, 429 nt
Filed under: Bacteroidota bacterium
Lineage: Bacteria; Pseudomonadati; Bacteroidota
Description: Bacteroidetes bacterium partial 16S ribosomal RNA
Rfam family: Bacterial small subunit ribosomal RNA
Source: RNAcentral